CUCCAUGGCCGCCAUUUGAAGAAGGUAACGAUCGUUACUUUUCCCUCUUGGCAUCUUUUUCUUUUUAUUUGUACUGGUACUUGUAACUAAUUAUAAUUUUUUAGUAGGGAAGAAAUUAGUGACUAAAUUUGUGUGGGGUUUCUACUUAUUUUUGGUAUUAGGAUUUUAUAAGAGCCACUGUAAAAAAAAAUGAUACUCUUAAGAAUCUGCUCUCUAGUUGUGUUUCACUCUUGCAGCUGCAAAUGGUGUAGUCAUUGCAACAGAGAAGACACUGCCAUCUAUAUUGGUUGAAGAAGCAUCAGUCCAGAAAAUUCAGUUAUUAACACCAAAUAUAGGGGUGGUAUAAAGGUAUACUAAAAUAGAUGAUUCUUCUCCUAUUUUAUGCACAAUAAUAAAAGGAAAGAAUGAUGGAAAAAACAAUAUUUCUACCUUACCCAGCAGUAUAUUAGCAAAUCAACCAACUAUGUUUGUGAACAUAGAUACUGUCAUACUGAUGUGGAUACCUACAGUUUUGAAGAAGCAAGUAUGCGGGUUAAUACAUUUAUCUCACUAUAUCAACUACUAAGUCUUAGGUGUUGUUUAUUUUUUUUGUUUUUUUUUUAUUUUUAAUGUGUAAUGAGAAAUUGAGAUGUAUAAUAUAUAAUGAAUUUUAUGAAAGCAGGAUCAUAUUUGUACAACUAGAUUGAAAUAUCUCUAAAUAAGUGAGUGAAUACUUACUUUUA
Molecule: non-coding RNA, 722 nt
Organism: Arachis ipaensis
Lineage: Eukaryota; Viridiplantae; Streptophyta; Magnoliopsida; Fabales; Fabaceae
Source: RefSeq, a predicted model, not a curated record